Molecule: unclassified non-coding RNA, 208 nt
Filed under: plant metagenome
Description: partial contains small subunit ribosomal RNA, internal transcribed spacer 1, and 5.8S ribosomal RNA
Rfam family: 5.8S ribosomal RNA (bases 139-208)
Source: RNAcentral
GUAGGUGAACCUGCGGAAGGAUCAUUAAUGAUUUUUUUAAGCAAACCAAGCGAAAGCGAGGUUUUGCGAAUAUAUUUAAAACUCCCACUCUUUAUAAAAGAAAAAAUUUUCAUAUUCAUAAUGAAUAAAAAAAAAGAUCACUUUCAACAACGGAUCUCUUGGCUCUCGCAUCGAUGAAGAACGCAGCAUCUGACUGACUCGACAGCUG